GUUUGGGGGAUGACAGAUAGGAUUGACAGUUCAGGAGAUGACAGAUUGGAUUGACAGUUUGGGGGAUGACAGAUAGGAUUGACAGUUCAGGAGAUGACAGAUUGGAUUGACAGUUUGGGGGAUGACAGAUAGGAUUGACAGUUCAGGAGAUGACAGAUUGGAUUGACAGUUUGGGGGAUGACAGAUAGGAUUGACAGUUCAGGAGAUGACAGAUUGGAUUGACAGUUUGGGGGAUGCCAGAUAGGA
Non-coding RNA from Pelobates cultripes (western spadefoot toad), 246 nucleotides. Lineage: Eukaryota; Metazoa; Chordata; Amphibia; Anura; Pelobatidae. The record is from the annotation of a GenBank genome assembly.